This 96-nucleotide ribosomal RNA is filed under the name Bacillus cereus. Its description in RNAcentral is "partial 16S ribosomal RNA". It matches the Rfam family "Bacterial small subunit ribosomal RNA", at positions 1439 to 1533 of the family's 1533-position model. RNAcentral also lists the same sequence under 319 other names. Lineage: Bacteria; Bacillati; Bacillota; Bacilli; Caryophanales; Bacillaceae. The record is from RNAcentral.
CCUUUUUGGAGCCAGCCGCCUAAGGUGGGACAGAUGAUUGGGGUGAAGUCGUAACAAGGUAGCCGUAUCGGAAGGUGCGGCUGGAUCACCUCCUUU